Molecule: long non-coding RNA, 215 nt
Filed under: Gossypium raimondii (Peruvian cotton)
Lineage: Eukaryota; Viridiplantae; Streptophyta; Magnoliopsida; Malvales; Malvaceae
Description: long non-coding RNA (GRAI_LNC007177)
Source: RNAcentral
UUUAAGUGGCAGUUGCAAACAACAAUUGUGUGUUUGCUUCAAUAAUUUCGGUCCAAUUUCAAAAGAAAUUCUUUUCCAAGAGUGUCCAUUUAAAAAAAAAAAAAGAAAAUAGAAGGAAAUUCUAAAUCAGCUAACAAUAAAUGACAUUGCUCACAUGUUGUUGUCCACUCCAUUUUCUCACCACCAAUAUAAGCCAUAAGAAAAACCCUACUCCC